RNAcentral lists this ribosomal RNA (467 nucleotides) under uncultured bacterium. Its description in RNAcentral is "partial 16S ribosomal RNA". It matches the Rfam family "Bacterial small subunit ribosomal RNA", at positions 28 to 507 of the family's 1533-position model. The record is from RNAcentral.
GACGAACGCUGGCGGCGUGCUUAACACAUGCAAGUCGAACGGAAGGCCCUGCUUUUGUGGGGUGCUCGAGUGGCGAACGGGUGAGUAACACGUGAGUAACCUGCCCUUGACUUUGGGAUAACUUCAGGAAACUGGGGCUAAUACCGGAUAGGAGCUCCUGCUGCAUGGUGGGGGUUGGAAAGUUUCGGCGGUUGGGGAUGGACUCGCGGCUUAUCAGCUUGUUGGUGGGGUAGUGGCUUACCAAGGCUUUGACGGGUAGCCGGCCUGAGAGGGUGACCGGCCACAUUGGGACUGAGAUACGGCCCAGACUCCUACGGGAGGCAGAAGUGGGGAAUAUUGCACAAUGGGCGGAAGCCUGAUGCAGCAACGCCGCGUGCGGGAUGACGGCCUUCGGGUUGUAAACCGCUUUCGCCUGUGACGAAGCGUGAGUGACGGUAAUGGGUAAAGAAGCACCGGCUAACUACGUG